UGAGCAAUCUGCCCUUCUCUUCGGAAUAAGCGUGGGAAACCGCGUCUAAUGCCGAAUACGACCUCCUUUCGCAUGAUCGGAGGUGGAAAGCUCCGGCGGAGAAGGAUGAGCUCGCGGCCUAUCAGCUAGUUGGUGUGGGUAAUGGCCCACCAAGGCGACGACGGGUAGCCGGCCUGAGAGGGUGACCGGCCACACUGGGACUGAGACACGGCCCAGACCUCCUACGGGAGGNAGCG
RNAcentral lists this ribosomal RNA (236 nucleotides) under uncultured bacterium. Its description in RNAcentral is "partial 16S ribosomal RNA". It matches the Rfam family "Bacterial small subunit ribosomal RNA", at positions 118 to 353 of the family's 1533-position model. The record is from RNAcentral.